RNAcentral lists this ribosomal RNA (253 nucleotides) under uncultured bacterium. RNAcentral describes it as "partial 16S ribosomal RNA". It matches the Rfam family "Bacterial small subunit ribosomal RNA", at positions 524 to 776 of the family's 1533-position model. The record is from RNAcentral.
UACGAGUGCCCCGAGCGUUAUCCGGAAUCAUUGGGCGUAAAGGGUGUGUAGGUGGCAGUGUUAGUCGAUUGUUAAAACCUGGGGCUUAACCCCAGAUGUGCGAUCGAAACGGCACAGCUAGAGGAUGCGAGGGAUGUAUGGAACUCAUGGAGUAGGGGUGAAAUCCGUUGAUAUCAUGGGGAACACCAAAAGCGAAGGCAGUACAGUGGGCCACUCCUGACACUGAAACACGAAAGCGUGGGUAGCGAACGGG